Molecule: ribosomal RNA, 560 nt
Filed under: Beauveria bassiana
Lineage: Eukaryota; Fungi; Ascomycota; Sordariomycetes; Hypocreales; Cordycipitaceae
Description: eukaryotic LSU rRNA
Rfam family: 5.8S ribosomal RNA (bases 221-374)
Source: RNAcentral
AGAGGAAGUAAAAGUCGUAACAAGAGUCUCCGUUGGUGAACCAGCGGAGGGAUCAUUACCGAGUUUUCAACUCCCUAACCCUUCUGUGAACCUACCUAUCGUUGCUUCGGCGGACUCGCCCCAGCCCGGACGCGGACUGGACCAGCGGCCCGCCGGGGACCUCAAACUCUUGUAUUCCAGCAUCUUCUGAAUACGCCGCAAGGCAAAACAAAUGAAUCAAAACUUUCAACAACGGAUCUCUUGGCUCUGGCAUCGAUGAAGAACGCAGCGAAACGCGAUAAGUAAUGUGAAUUGCAGAAUCCAGUGAAUCAUCGAAUCUUUGAACGCACAUUGCGCCCGCCAGCAUUCUGGCGGGCAUGCCUGUUCGAGCGUCAUUUCAACCCUCGACCUCCCCUUGGGGGGGUCGGCGUUGGGGACCGGCAGCACACCGCCGGCCCUGAAAUGGAGUGGCGGCCCGUCCGCGGCGACCUCUGCGCAGUAAUACAGCUCGCACCGGAACCCCGACGCGGCCACGCCGUAAAACACCCAACUUCUGAACGUUGACCUCGAAUCAGGUAGGA